GACGAGGUGGCCGAGCGGUCUAAGGCGCUAGAUUCAGGGCUAACCGGUUCUGUCCGGUGGUGAGUCUUCUAGUCCGAAAGGGCGUGGGUUCAAAUCCCAUCCUCGUCA
Molecule: transfer RNA, 108 nt
Organism: Gonium pectorale
Lineage: Eukaryota; Viridiplantae; Chlorophyta; Chlorophyceae; Chlamydomonadales; Volvocaceae
Rfam family: tRNA
About the family: Transfer RNA (tRNA) molecules are approximately 80 nucleotides in length. Their secondary structure includes four short double-helical elements and three loops (D, anti-codon, and T loops).
Source: Rfam